This 1310-nucleotide unclassified non-coding RNA is filed under the name Hevea brasiliensis (rubber tree). Lineage: Eukaryota; Viridiplantae; Streptophyta; Magnoliopsida; Malpighiales; Euphorbiaceae. The record is from RNAcentral.
UCACACACACAAUCACAUGCACACAUGCACUGAAUGCUCUUCCUAUAUCACAAAAUCAUUUUUGGGUAGUUUUGUAAACAUAGAGUGAACAGUGAACUAAGCUCUAAUUUCUCUAAAAAAAUCAUAGAUCGUGGAAAUAGCUUCUCCAAACCAAAGGCCAAGAUCAAAGAUCAGACCCAGUUUAACUAGUAAUGAAAUGCAUUUCUGAAUCAUGGAUGGGGAAAAAGCAGGGCUUAGGGAUGGAGGGAACUUACUUCUCAUAAUGAGUGUGGUGGAGGCAACUAUUGAAUUUCUAGGAAUGCCCAAUUUUAUCAAUUACCCUAUUUUUGUGCCCUUGUUGAUCAUAAAUAUUAUUUAGUUCGUUUGAGUGUUUCUGCAUCAUCUGUUGACUUUUUACUUUUUGAGUGGUCACUAGUUGCUAAAAGAAGCUAGAGAACAUCUAUUUUGUUGUUGGUCAUAAUGGUAGGUGUUGAAAUAAAUGGAAUACCUAUAGAAUAAUUUCUUUUAGAAUAGCUCUUGGAAAGUUCCUCUGUUAAUAAAGAGGGUUUGUUUUGUGAACCCUAAUUAGUUUGGGACUGAGACUUGGUUGACUUGAGUAUGCUCUGAUUUCUAAUUUCAUAUGUAUGCACUGAAUUAUCCUCGUUUGCUUCCUUGGAUCUUUAUGUAACGUAAUUUGUUUCCCAUGUUUUGGCAAUUUGAAAUGUUCAGUUAUGUCCAUGAUAAGAAUAAUGACGUAUAAAAAUUGUGAUUUGUUCAUUCAUUGUCUAUGACUACGUGCAUAUAAUUGUUCAGUGGUAGGUAACUAGCUAAAUCUUGCAAAUAUUGUAAGAUUAAAUGAGCUAAUAAUACAUCAGAAUAUGUAAGUUCAUUUUCAUUUUGGAUAGGAGAAACUCAAUUUGGAUGUCUUUGCCUUGCAUCUGCUAAUUAGAACGACCUUCCAUUUGGUGAUUUUGAUAAAGUAAUGAAAGGUUUCUUCUCCAUUUGGAACUUGAUAUUGUUGGGCUUAAUUUGUCUUGUUGAACUAAUAUACAACGAUCUUCAAUAGAUUUCAUAGUUCAAUUGAGGCUAUCAAAGUCACAGGCCAAAUAUUUGGGUACCAUUUUGUACAUGCAGGUGGGUUCUUAGAGUAGUUAUACUUGUUGGAAAAAGGGGAGGUUUGGUGUUACAUGGGAUAGUAGGGAGAGGGAUGAGAUAGUGAGAGGCAUGGAAGGAUGGACACUCCAUGUAGACUUGGUACACAUGACAGGUUAGCGGUUGCAGGUUAGGCAGUGAUGAAGGGAAAGUACAAGGGAAUUUCUUGAGAAUUGUGA